GGGGUUCCCGAGCGGCCAAAGGGAGCAGACUGUAAAUCUGCCGUCAUCGACUUCGAAGGUUCGAAUCCUUCCCCCACCA
RNAcentral lists this transfer RNA (79 nucleotides) under Klebsiella pneumoniae. RNAcentral's name for it is "tRNA-Tyr". It matches the Rfam family "tRNA". From Rfam's summary of the family: Transfer RNA (tRNA) molecules are approximately 80 nucleotides in length. Their secondary structure includes four short double-helical elements and three loops (D, anti-codon, and T loops). Lineage: Bacteria; Pseudomonadati; Pseudomonadota; Gammaproteobacteria; Enterobacterales; Enterobacteriaceae. The record is from RNAcentral. RNAcentral also lists the same sequence under 6 other names.